GUUACAGAUAAUAGUCAAGAGUGCAGCAACACAGCAAGGUCAACUGGGCAGCUGCACACAGGAAUAAAACAAGAGCAAGUGGUGGCAAAGACAGUUACAUCUUAGCUGUCAUUCUGUUACAAAUAGCACGAGCUACAUCACUGUAUAUAGGGUCAUGUAGAUAGUUCUAGAAUAGAGCUGAUGUCUAUAUAAGUAGGUUUGCUGUGUAUUCAACUUUGAAGUUCUGUUUUUACAUAGCAUCAAUAUAGAGUGUUUUCUUCUUUGAGCUUUGGUCUCUGGUUACUUUAAUGGAGUAACUGUGUUUUGUGAU
RNAcentral lists this long non-coding RNA (310 nucleotides) under Daucus carota (carrot). Its description in RNAcentral is "long non-coding RNA (DCAR_LNC002349)". The record is from RNAcentral. Lineage: Eukaryota; Viridiplantae; Streptophyta; Magnoliopsida; Apiales; Apiaceae.